Molecule: transfer RNA, 72 nt
Filed under: Streptomyces sp. SID5785
Lineage: Bacteria; Bacillati; Actinomycetota; Actinomycetes; Kitasatosporales; Streptomycetaceae
Rfam family: tRNA
About the family: Transfer RNA (tRNA) molecules are approximately 80 nucleotides in length. Their secondary structure includes four short double-helical elements and three loops (D, anti-codon, and T loops). Further hydrogen bonds mediate the characteristic L-shaped molecular structure. tRNAs have two regions of fundamental functional importance: the anti-codon, which is responsible for specific mRNA codon recognition, and the 3' end, to which the tRNAs corresponding amino acid is attached (by aminoacyl-tRNA synthetases). tRNAs cope with the degeneracy of the genetic code in two manners: having more than one tRNA (with a specific anti-codon) for a particular amino acid; and 'wobble' base-pairing, i.e. permitting non-standard base-pairing at the 3rd anti-codon position.
Source: Rfam by way of RNAcentral
GCCCCCGUAGCUCAGGGGAUAGAGCAACGGCGUCCGGAGCCGUGUGCGCAGGUUCGAAUCCUGCCGGGGGCA